GGUGAACGCUGGCGGCGUGCUUAAGACAUGCAAGUCGAACGCAGUCUUCGGACUGAGUGGCGCACGGGUGAGUAACACGUAACUGACCUGCCCCCAAGUCGCGGAUAACUGGCCGAAAGGUCAGCUAAUACGUGAUGUGGUGUCCCCUUUCUGGGGGGCCAUUAAAGGUUUACUGCUUGGGGAUGGGGUUGCGUUCCAUCAGCUAGUUGGCGGGGUAAAGGCCCACCAAGGCAACGACGGAUAGCCGGCCUGAGAGGGUGGCCGGCCACAGGGGCACUGACACACGGGUCCCACUCCUACGGGAGGCAGCAGUUAGGAAUCUUCCACAAUGGGCGAAAGCCUGAUGGAGCGACGCCGCGGGAGGGAUGAAGGUUCUCGGAUCGUAAACCUCUGAAUCAGGGACGAAAGACGCGUAAGCGGGAUGACGGUACCUGAGUAAUAGCACCGGCUAACUCCGUGCCAGCAGCCGCCGUAA
This 475-nucleotide ribosomal RNA is filed under the name uncultured bacterium. RNAcentral describes it as "partial 16S ribosomal RNA". It matches the Rfam family "Bacterial small subunit ribosomal RNA", at positions 28 to 523 of the family's 1533-position model. The record is from RNAcentral.